RNAcentral lists this long non-coding RNA (1568 nucleotides) under Marmota monax (woodchuck). The record is from RNAcentral. Lineage: Eukaryota; Metazoa; Chordata; Mammalia; Rodentia; Sciuridae.
GAGUCUGCCUUUUCAAAAUGGCCGUGACCUGUAAAAUAACCAGCUCUGCAAAGGGAAGGAAGGCCAGGUGCUCCGAGCAGGCGCACAGCUGGGUCUCCGCUGCCCAAGCCUGUGCAUCUCCUGGCUGCAGACCUAAAGGCGCUCUCACCCAGGGCAACGCUGACUCGGGCUACACUACAUCUUUACCAGCUGGGGUGGUUGGGGGGGGGGGGCUGGAACCCACCGAGAACUUCUGGAUCCUUUGCUUGUUAGGGGAGAACCAGAUAGAAAGCUCCCAGCCUGGUUCUAGCUACUGGGUUUCAAAUGAGAGAAAAUCCCAAUUUCUCUUUUAAAUCUUCCCUAGUGUUCGACAGUGGUCAAGCUUGCUGCAGACUAUGAUAAUGAUGAUAAGAACAACUACCCUGUAGUUAAAUGUUGUUGUUAUUAUUAUCUAUAAGGAGGCUGGGUGUCAUCUCACUUAAUUACAUGUAAAAACAGAAUAAACACUGAGCUCUCAGGGGUCUUACCACUCCUCUGUUUCAAAAAGUCAUCCUGGAAUAUAUCCAGGGACAUAGCUUCUAAGUAACCACAGUGAAACAGGGCUUCCCAACCCUCGGGAAAUGGCAUUUGGUAGUUUGUCACCUUACGAUAGUGAGCACCUGGCUAAUGUGUAGAAAUUUGGAUUUUGUAAUUUUUGCAUAUUAUAAUAAGAUACUACUUAUGUUUCCUAUAAGCUUUAUUCAUACAUAUAGCCUGAAGAUAAGUUUACAGAAUAUUUUAAAUAAUUUUAUGCAUGAAACUAAGCUUCAUGGUGUUGAAUUUUCCACUUGUGGCCUCAUGUCAAUGCUCAGAAAGUUCUAGAUUUUGCAUUUUUGGAUUAGGAAUGCUCAACCUGUAAUAAGUGCUGAGAAUUGGGGUUGGGGAAUACAAAGAAAAAUACAAGAAAAAUACAGACUCCUGGUCUUUCUUGGACAGCUUGAUUUCAAGGGUAGACAAAGCUCUAAUGCAUUUUUUUUUGGCCAUUUCUCAUUUUCUAAAAGAAACACUGCAUACAUUACCACUGCCUUCCUAAACUGGAGAUACCAGCCAGGGAAUAGUGUUAACUUUUCAUGAAAAUUCAGUUUCGCCAUAAUCAAAACAAUUGAUAAUAUUCUGUUGUGAUAUUAUUUUGGAGGACACACAGUGUUUGAUAUCCAAAUAACUCUGGAUAGCAGUACUUCUGGGCUCUGGUUUCUAUUAUCAUAUUUUUUUGUCUCUUUGUUCUUAUCUCUGGUCACAUCUCUGGUGUCACAACACUCCUCUGCAGUGGGCCUGCUUCUGUUAUUUCAUUGCUGCAGACUAAGCUUACACCAAGGCCAUUAGAAUUAAUGUGUAAAAUUGAAAUGACAGUUCCGUGUGGGCUGAGGGACUCUUCUGUAGAUAAGGCGAAUGAGUUGGUUCAAUGACUUGUGAUAUUUAAUUCUAGCUGUGCUCAGAUGUUUUCUUGGCUAAGUUUGUGUUCCUGAGUGGGUCUUGACAGGGGUAGCUGCUAGAUGCAUGAGAAAGUAGCCUACCAAAAUUUGCAAGCUUGCAGAAAUAUCUGAUGGUUC